GAUGAACGCUGGCGGCGUGCCUAAUACAUGCAAGUCGAGCGAACAGACGAGGAGCUUGCUCCUCUGACGUUAGCGGCGGACGGGUGAGUAACACGUGGAUAACCUACCUAUAAGACUGGGAUAACUUCGGGAAACCGGAGCUAAUACCGGAUAAUAUAUUGAGCCGCAUGGUUCAAUAGUGAAAGACGGUUUUGCUGUCACUUAUAGAUGGAUCCGCGCCGCAUUAGCUAGUUGGUAAGGUAACGGCUUACCAAGGCGACGAUGCGUAGCCGACCUGAGAGGGUGAUCGGCCACACUGGAACUGAGACACGGUCCAGACUCCUACGGGAGGCAGCAGUAGGGAAUCUUCCGCAAUGGGCGAAAGCCUGACGGAGCAACGCCGCGUGAGUGAUGAAGGUCUUCGGAUCGUAAAACUCUGUUAUUAGGGAAGAACAAAUGUGUAAGUAACUAUGCACGUCUUGACGGUACCCAAUCAGAAAGCCACGGCUAACUACGUG
Molecule: ribosomal RNA, 497 nt
Filed under: uncultured bacterium
Lineage: Bacteria
Description: partial 16S ribosomal RNA
Rfam family: Bacterial small subunit ribosomal RNA
Source: RNAcentral